Molecule: ribosomal RNA, 497 nt
Filed under: uncultured bacterium
Lineage: Bacteria
Description: partial 16S ribosomal RNA
Rfam family: Bacterial small subunit ribosomal RNA
Source: RNAcentral
GACGAACGCUGGCGGCGUGCCUAAUACAUGCAAGUUGAGCGCUGACGGUUGGUACUUGUACCGACUGGAUGAGCAGCGCACGGGUGAGUAACGCGUGGGGAAUCUGCCUUUGAGCGGGGGACAACAUUUGGACACGAAUGCUAAUACCGCAUAAAAACUUUAAACACAAGUUUUAAGUUUGAAAUAUGCAAUUGCAUCACUCAAAGAUGAUCCCGCGUUGUAUUAGCUAGUUGGUGGGGUAAAGGCUCACCAAGGCGAUGAUACAUAGCCGACCUGAGAGGGUGAACCGCCAAAUUGGGACUGAGAAAACGGCCAAAACCCGACGGGAGGGAGCAGGAGGGAAUUUUUGGAAAUGGACGAAAGUCCGAACGAGGAAAGGCGGGGGAGGGAAGAAGGGUUUCGGAUUGUAAAAGUAUGUUGGUAGAGAAGAAAGUUGGUGAGAGUGGAAAGGUCAGGAAGUGACGGUACCGAAAGAGAAAGGGACGGCUAACUACGUG